GGCUGCCGUCCAACGGCAACACGGGUAUCGGGGAGGGGUGUUAGUAGAAGUGCAGUUCGCCUACUUCAGAUGUGCUGUGAACAGAACAGAAGGAAGUGGUACGUACUGUUGCGCCGUACUCCUCGUGUCUUAGCGAUGCAGCACGGGCCAUGAUGGGCAACAACCCUCCAGCGCUCUUGGUCCCCCCGGGGCACCAGGCAGACUCCAGGUCCAAUCCGCAGGUGGUUAGGAAAAGAAAAGAGAAGAGGGAGGAGGUAGAGAGAUGAAGAGAGGAGCUGGAAGAAGAAAUCGGGAGAGAGAAGACUAUUUGGCGAUUUCUAAUCGCUGAUAGAUCUUGGCUUUUUCCUUUUCAUUGUUUCUGGAGUCAUUGGGUAGCUGGAUGAACUCGGGACGGAAUUGGCCAAUUUUACACACUUUCAGCCGAAACUGUUCAAUUUCUCCCUCUGAAAUGAUUUAUAUACAUUUGCCAUAAGCAAUUUGAGUCUAACAACUUUUGUACAGAGGUUACACUCUCUGAUAAAUGGAUUUUUGCUGCUUAGUCAUUUUGUUUAUUAGAGUUAAUGCAACACAAUUCUUGAAACAUUUGUCACAAAUUAAUUUUGUGCAAUUUUGCAUGCAGUUAACUGAAAUUUGUAAAACAGAAGUUUACCUAAUCAAUUUUAGUUGUGACAUGAAUACAUUUUGUUGGCCUGUAUUGUUGAUGUGUUUGCUCCUUUGCCCUCAGCUUGCCCGAUAUUAAUUUCAAAUUAAAAAAAAAAAAAAUUAUUUGUGACAAAAUUAACUGGCUAGAACCUGUUAAAUAAAUUAAUUAGUGCUGUUAAUCGAUUUAAAAAAUUAACUAAUCACAUUUUUUCUGUGAUUAAUCGCAAUUAAUCACACCUAACAUUAAAGUUUUUAUAUAUAUUUAUAUUGCAAUUUAA
This is a long non-coding RNA of Ctenopharyngodon idella (grass carp), 920 nucleotides long. RefSeq lists it as uncharacterized. The transcript is spliced from 3 exons. NCBI's taxonomy places the organism in Eukaryota, Metazoa, Chordata, Actinopteri, Cypriniformes, Xenocyprididae. The record is from RefSeq and is a predicted model, not a curated record.